This 822-nucleotide transfer RNA is filed under the name Cyanobium sp. PCC 9005. RNAcentral describes it as "intergenic spacer". The stretch from base 283 to 355 matches the Rfam family "tRNA". Lineage: Bacteria; Bacillati; Cyanobacteriota; Cyanophyceae; Synechococcales; Prochlorococcaceae. The record is from RNAcentral.
CAGGGAGACAAACCUGAUCGUGAUGUCUGAGUACUUUAUUCUCAGGCCAUGAUCCUGUCACCUUAGGUCGAUCGGUACCUCGCAGAGAGGAUGAAAGAGCCUGAGCAAUCAGGGGAGAUUCAUCUGAUCUGAUUCAGUUCCUAAACUUUGUCUAGGUCACCCCGUAGCUCCUGGGCCAUUAGCUCAGGUGGUUAGAGCGCACCCCUGAUAAGGGUGAGGUCCCUGGUUCAAGUCCAGGAUGGCCCAUUCACAGCCUGUUUACCAGGCAGGACUUGACUAGCUGGGGGUUUAGCUCAGUUGGUAGAGCGCCUGCUUUGCAAGCAGGAUGUCAGCGGUUCGAGUCCGCUAACCUCCAUAUCAACGCGACCCCACAAGCGGAAGCAAGUGAGCUGAAUCGGAGUGAUCAAGAUAGGGAAGGAGAGGAGCUGAGAAUGACUCCAGCCUUCAGGAUUCAAGGAUGGGUGCUCAGGAGAUGAGCAAGGUCAAUCGUUGAAUGUUGAAUGCUGGACUCACACCAGGAAGCAGAUGCUUGCUGGUGAGAUGUUCAGCGAAGAACCUUGACAACUGCAUAGGUGAGUCUGGAAAGAAAGCAUCUCAUGGAUGACCAGUGAAAACUGGAAAUUCUAUUGAGUUUAGAGCCGAGGCUUUCCAGCGUUCUUCCAAGUCCCUGACCUAUCCAGUCAGGGUGAGGGAGUUUGAUUGUGGUGUUCAAACCGCAAGCGAUCAGAAGCUGUGAACCGAAAGGUUGAUGGCUUGUGAUGGUGAGCAGGUGAACCCGCAAGAAGCGGCCUCAACAGCCGUAAGACGUUGGGAAGUGUAAUU